RNAcentral lists this ribosomal RNA (460 nucleotides) under uncultured bacterium. RNAcentral's name for it is "partial 16S ribosomal RNA". It matches the Rfam family "Bacterial small subunit ribosomal RNA", at positions 338 to 795 of the family's 1533-position model. The record is from RNAcentral.
CCUACGGGCGGCAGCAGUGAGGAAUAUUGGUCAAUGGGCGCGAGCCUGAACCAGCCAAGUAGCGUGAAGGAUGACUGCCCUACGGGUUGUAAACUUCUUUUAUAAAGGAAUCAAGUGAGGCCCGUGUGCCUUUUUGUCUGUACUUUAUGAAUAAGGAUCGGCUAACUCCGUGCCAGCAGCCGCGGUAAUACGGAGCAUCCGAGCGUUAUCCGGAUUUAUUGGGUUGAAAGGGAGCGUAGAUGGGUUGUUAAGUAAGUUGGGAAAGUUUGCGGCUCAACCGUAAAAUUGCAAGUGAUACUGGCAGUCUUGAGUACAGUUGAGGUAGGCGGAAUUCGUGGUGUAGCGGUGAAAUGCUUAGAUAUCACGAAGAACUCCGAUUGCGAAGGCAGCUUACUAAACUGCCACUGACAUUGAUGCUCGAAAGUGUGGGUAUCAAACAGGAGUAGAUACCCCAGUAGUC